UCUUUAUAUCACCCACACACUGCGUACCCACCUGUUGCCUCCACCGGUACACAUGUCCGGUGAGAGGGGAGCCCGUCAACCCUCUUUGCAUUGCAUUGCAGUCUGUCCGAACUCAGUGAGAGAAAAAACAGUCACAAAACUUUCAGCAACGGAUCUCUUGGUUCUCGCAUCGAUGAAGAACGCAGCGAAAUGCGAUAAGUAGUGUGAAUUGCAGAAUUCAGUGAAUCAUCGAAUCUUUGAACGCACAUUGCGCCUCCCGGCAUUCCGGGAGGCAUGCCUGUCCGAGCACUAACAGGAAAUGCAUUCGGGCCUGCACACUGGCCUGGUGGUGGGGGAUGAGCCCUUGUGUCGUCCGGCACGAGCUCACCCCUGAAAGCCAAUGGUGGGGAGCACCGAGUGCGCUGGUGUGAUAGCAACGCUUCGCCAGGAGUAUCGGGUUUGCACGCCCCACUGCAACACCAAAAGAAUCGUCCCGCAAGGGCAGAACUUUGAU
Molecule: ribosomal RNA, 493 nt
Filed under: uncultured Pezizomycotina
Lineage: Eukaryota; Fungi; Ascomycota
Description: eukaryotic LSU rRNA
Rfam family: 5.8S ribosomal RNA (bases 138-291)
Source: RNAcentral